Molecule: ribosomal RNA, 1257 nt
Organism: Natronorubrum sulfidifaciens JCM 14089
Lineage: Archaea; Methanobacteriati; Methanobacteriota; Halobacteria; Halobacteriales; Natrialbaceae
Rfam family: Archaeal small subunit ribosomal RNA
Source: Rfam
AUUCCGGUUGAUCCUGCCGGAGGUCAUUGCUAUUGGAGUCCGAUUUAGCCAUGCUAGUUGUACGAGUUUAGACUCGUAGCAGAUAGCUCAGUAACACGUGGCCAAACUACCCUAUGGAUCCGGACAACCUCGGGAAACUGAGGCUAAUCCGGAAUACGAUUCUCAAGUUGGAAUUGCUGAGAAUCCGAAACGCUCNAACGGCCCACCGUGCCAAUAAUCGGUACGGGUUGUGAGAGCAAGAGCCCGGAGACGGUAUCUGAGACAAGAUACCGGGCCCUACGGGGCGCAGCAGGCGCGAAACCUUUACACUGCACGCCAGUGCGAUAAGGGGACUCCGAGUGCGAGGGCAUAUAGUCCUCGCUUUUCACCACCGUAAGGAGGUGGUAGAAUAAGUGCUGGGCAAGACCGGUGCCAGCCGCCGCGGUAAUACCGGCAGCACGAGUGAUGACCGCUAUUAUUGGGCCUAAAGCGUCCGUAGCUGGCCGCGCAAGUCUAUCGGGAAAUCUGCCCGCCUAACGGGCAGGCGUCCGGUGGAAACUGCGUGGCUUGGGACCGGAAGAUCCAGAGGGNGAGGGACGAAAGCUCGGGUCACGAACCGGAUUAGAUACCCGGGUAGUCCGAGCUGUAAACGAUGUCUGCUAGGUGUGUCACAAACUACGAGUUUGUGAUGUGCCGUAGGGAAGCCGUGAAGCAGACCGCCUGGGAAGUACGUCCGCAAGGAUGAAACUUAAAGGAAUUGGCGGGGGAGCACUACAACCGGAGGAGCCUGCGGUUUAAUUGGACUCAACGCCGGACAUCUCACCAGCAUCGACAAUGUGCAGUGAUGGUCAGUGUGAUGAGCUUACCAGAGCCAUUGAGAGGAGGNGGUAGCUGGGUACAUUAGGCGGACUGCCAGUGCCAAACUGGAGGAAGGAACGGGCAACGGUAGGUCAGUAUGCCCCGAAUGUGCUGGGCGACACGCGGGCUACAAUGGCCACGACAGUGGGAUGCAACCCCGAGAGGGGACGCUAAUCUCCGAAACGUGGUCGUAGUUCGGAUUGAGGGCUGAAACUCGCCCUCAUGAAGCUGGAUUCGGUAGUAAUCGCGCCUCAGAAGGGCGCGGUGAAUACGUCCCUGCUCCUUGCACACACCGCCCGUCAAAGCACCCGAGUGAGGUCCGGAUGAGGCCGCCGCAACGGCGGUCGAAUCUGGGCUUCGCAAGGGGGCUUAAGUCGUAACAAGGUAGCCGUAGGGGAAUCUGCGGCUGGAUCACCUCCA